Molecule: unclassified non-coding RNA, 348 nt
Filed under: soil metagenome
Description: partial contains 5.8S ribosomal RNA, internal transcribed spacer 2, and large subunit ribosomal RNA
Rfam family: 5.8S ribosomal RNA (bases 1-120)
Source: RNAcentral
GAUGAAGAACGCAGCGAAAUGCGAUAAGUAAUGUGAAUUGCAGAAUUCAGUGAAUCAUCGAGUCUUUGAACGCACAUUGCGCCCCCUGGUAUUCCGGGGGGCAUGCCUGUCCGAGCGUCAUUGCUGCCCUCAAGCACGGCUUGUGUGUUGGGCCCCCGUCCCCGGUUUCCCCCGGGGACGGGCCCGAAAGGCAGCGGCGGCACCGCGUCCGGUCCUCGGGCGUAUGGGGCUUUGUCACCCGCUCUGUAGGCCCGGCCGGCGCCAGCCGACACCCAACUUUAUUUCUAAGGUUGACCUCGGAUCAGGUAGGGAUACCCGCUGAACUUAAGCAUAUCAAUAAGCGGAGGA